Molecule: ribosomal RNA, 232 nt
Filed under: uncultured bacterium
Lineage: Bacteria
Description: partial 16S ribosomal RNA
Rfam family: Bacterial small subunit ribosomal RNA
Source: RNAcentral
GAUCCUGGCUCAGGAUGAACGCUAGCUACAGGCUUAACACAUGCAAGUCGAGGGGAAACGACAUCGAAAGCUUGCUUUUGAUGGGCGUCGACCGGCGCACGGGUGAGUAACGCGUAUCCAACCUGCCCAUCACUUGGGAAUAACCUUGCGAAAGUAAGACUAAUGCCCAAUGAUAUCCCACGAAGGCAUCCGAAUGGGAUUAAAGAUUUAUCGGUGAUGGAUGGGGAUGUGU